Molecule: ribosomal RNA, 250 nt
Filed under: uncultured bacterium
Lineage: Bacteria
Also listed under: 1 other name
Description: partial 16S ribosomal RNA
Rfam family: Bacterial small subunit ribosomal RNA
Source: RNAcentral
UACGGAGGAUCCGAGCGUUAUCCGGAUUUAUUGGGUUUAAAGGGUGCGUAGGCGGCCUAUUAAGUCAGGGGUGAAAUACGGUGGCUCAACCAUCGCAGUGCCUUUGAUACUGAUGGGCUUGAAUCCAUUUGAAGUGGGCGGAAUAAGACAAGUAGCGGUGAAAUGCAUAGAUAUGUCUUAGAACUCCGAUUGCGAAGGCAGCUCACUAAGCUGGUAUUGACGCUGAUGCACGAAAGCGUGGGGAUCGAAC